GACAGAGGGUGCAAACGUUGUUCGGAAUUACUGGGCGUAAAGCGUGUGUAGGCGGUGAGGUAAGUCGGAUGUGAAAGCCCAGGGCUCAACCCUGGAAGUGCACUCGAUACUGCUUCGCUUGAGUACUGGAGAGGUCGGUGGAAUUCUCGGUGUAGAGGUGAAAUUCGUAGAUAUCGAGAGGAACAUCUGUGGCGAAGGCGGCCGACUGGACAGAUACUGACGCUGAGGUGCGAAAGCGUGGGGAGCAAACAGG
Molecule: ribosomal RNA, 253 nt
Filed under: uncultured bacterium
Lineage: Bacteria
Description: partial 16S ribosomal RNA
Rfam family: Bacterial small subunit ribosomal RNA
Source: RNAcentral